This 253-nucleotide ribosomal RNA is filed under the name uncultured bacterium. Its description in RNAcentral is "partial 16S ribosomal RNA". It matches the Rfam family "Bacterial small subunit ribosomal RNA", at positions 524 to 776 of the family's 1533-position model. The record is from RNAcentral.
UACGGAGGGAGCAAGCGUUACUCGGAAUUAUUGGGCGUAAAGGGCGCGUAGGCGGUCUGACAAGUUCUGUGUGAAAGCCCACAUGUUAACUGUGGAAGUGCACAGAAAACUGUUGGAUUUGAGUUCAGGAGAGGAAGGCAGAAUUCCCGGUGUAGCGGUGAAAUGCGUAGAGAUCGGGAGGAAUCCCAGUGGCGAAGGCGGCCUUCUGGACUGACACUGACGCUGAGGCGCGAAAGCCAGGGGAGCAAACGGG